Molecule: ribosomal RNA, 465 nt
Filed under: uncultured bacterium
Lineage: Bacteria
Description: bacterial SSU rRNA
Rfam family: Bacterial small subunit ribosomal RNA
Source: RNAcentral
AAUCAACGCUGGCGGCGUGCCUAACACAUGCAAGUCGCACGAGAAAGGGACUUCGGUCCUGAGUACAGUGGCGCACGGGUGAGUAACACGUGAAUCAUCUACCUUCGAGUGGGGAAUAACUGAGAGAAAUCUUAGCUAAUACCGCAUAAUACCUACGGGUCAAAGCAGCAAUGCGCUUGAAGAGGAGUUCGCGGCAGAUUAGUUAGUUGGCAGGGUAAUGGCCUACCAAGACGAUGAUCUGUAUCCGGCCUGAGAGGGCGCACGGACACACUGGAACUGAAACACGGUCCAGACUCCUACGGGAGGCAGCAGUGGGGAAUUUUGCGCAAUGGGGGAAACCCUGACGCAGCAACGCCGCGUGGAGGAUGAAAUCCCUUGGGAUGUAAACUCCUUUCGAUCGGGAAGAUAAUGACGGUACCGAGAGAAGAAGCCCCCGGCUAACUUCGUGCCAGCAGCCGCGGUAAU